This 135-nucleotide ribosomal RNA is filed under the name uncultured bacterium. RNAcentral's name for it is "partial 16S rRNA". It matches the Rfam family "Bacterial small subunit ribosomal RNA", at positions 355 to 507 of the family's 1533-position model. The record is from RNAcentral.
UGGGGAAUCUUGCGCAAUGGGCGAAAGCCUGACGCAGCCAUGCCGCGUGAAUGAUGAGGGUCUUAGGAUUGUAAAAUUCUUUCACCGGGGACGAUAAUGACGGUACCCGGAGAAGAAGCCCCGGCUAACUUCGUG